This 250-nucleotide ribosomal RNA is filed under the name uncultured bacterium. RNAcentral describes it as "partial 16S ribosomal RNA". It matches the Rfam family "Bacterial small subunit ribosomal RNA", at positions 524 to 773 of the family's 1533-position model. The record is from RNAcentral.
UACAGAGGGUGCGAGCGUUAUUCGGAAUUACUGGGCGUAAAGCGCACGUAGGUGGUUUGGUAAGUCUGAUGUGAAAGCCCUGGGCUCAAUCCAGGAAGUGCAUCGGAUACUGCCAGGCUUGAGUACAGGAGAGGUGGGCGGAAUUCCAGGUGUAGAGGUGAAAUUCGUAGAUAUCUGGAGGAACAACAGCGGCGAAGGCGGCUCACUGGACUGUCACUGACACUGAGGUGCGAAAGCGUGGGGAGCAAAC